UUCCGGUAGGGGGGACCUGCGGAAGGAUCAUUACCGAGUGAGGGCCCUCUGGGUCCAACCUCCCACCCGUGUUUAUUUUACCUUGUUGCUUCGGCGGGCCCGCCUUAACUGGCCGCCGGGGGGCUUACGCCCCCGGGCCCGCGCCCGCCGAAGACACCCUCGAACUCUGUCUGAAGAUUGUAGUCUGAGUGAAAAUAUAAAUUAUUUAAAACUUUCAACAACGGAUCUCUUGGUUCCGGCAUCGAUGAAGAACGCAGCGAAAUGCGAUACGUAAUGUGAAUUGCAAAUUCAGUGAAUCAUCGAGUCUUUGAACGCACAUUGCGCCCCCUGGUAUUCCGGGGGGCAUGCCUGUCCGAGCGUCAUUGCUGCCCUCAAGCACGGCUUGUGUGUUGGGCCCCGUCCUCCGAUCCCGGGGGACGGGCCCGAAAGGCAGCGGCGGCACCGCGUCCGGUCCUCGAGCGUAUGGGGCUUUGUCACCCGCUCUGUAGGCCCGGCCGGCGCUUGCCGAUCAACCCAAAUUUUUAUCCAGGUGACCUCGGAUCAGGUAGGGAUACCCGCUGAACUUAAGCAUAUCAAUAAACGGAGGAACCGA
Molecule: ribosomal RNA, 592 nt
Filed under: Penicillium chrysogenum
Lineage: Eukaryota; Fungi; Ascomycota; Eurotiomycetes; Eurotiales; Aspergillaceae
Description: eukaryotic LSU rRNA
Rfam family: 5.8S ribosomal RNA (bases 210-362)
Source: RNAcentral